CUACGGGAGGCUGCAGUGGGGAAUAUUGCACAAUGGAGGAAACUCUGAUGCAGCAACGCCGCGUGGAGGAUGACACUUUUCGGAGCGUAAACUCCUUUUAUAUAGGAAGAAGAUGACGGUACUAUAUGAAUAAGCGCCGGCUAACUCCGUACCAGCAGCCGCGGUAAUACGGAGGGCGCAAGCGUUACUCGGAAUCACUGGGCGUAAAGAGCGUGUAGGCGGAUUAAAAAGUCAGAAGUGAAAUCCUAUAGCUUAACUAUAGAACUGCUUCUGAAACUCUUAAUCUAGAAUAUGGGAGAGGUAGAUGGAAUUUCUGGUGUAGGGGUAAAAUCCGUAGAGAUCAGAAGGAAUACCGAUUGCGAAGGCGAUCUACUAGAACAUUAUUGACGCUGAGACGCGAAAGCGUGGGGAGCAAACAGGAUUAGAUACCCCGGUAGUC
This 439-nucleotide ribosomal RNA is filed under the name uncultured bacterium. RNAcentral describes it as "partial 16S ribosomal RNA". It matches the Rfam family "Bacterial small subunit ribosomal RNA", at positions 339 to 795 of the family's 1533-position model. The record is from RNAcentral.